UCCCUGGUGGCUCAGAUGGCAAAGCAUCUGCCUGCAAUGCGGGAGACCUGGGUUCGAUCCCCAGAUCGGGAA
This 72-nucleotide transfer RNA is filed under the name Ovis aries (sheep). It matches the Rfam family "tRNA". Rfam says of the family: Transfer RNA (tRNA) molecules are approximately 80 nucleotides in length. Their secondary structure includes four short double-helical elements and three loops (D, anti-codon, and T loops). Further hydrogen bonds mediate the characteristic L-shaped molecular structure. tRNAs have two regions of fundamental functional importance: the anti-codon, which is responsible for specific mRNA codon recognition, and the 3' end, to which the tRNAs corresponding amino acid is attached (by aminoacyl-tRNA synthetases). tRNAs cope with the degeneracy of the genetic code in two manners: having more than one tRNA (with a specific anti-codon) for a particular amino acid; and 'wobble' base-pairing, i.e. permitting non-standard base-pairing at the 3rd anti-codon position. The record is from Rfam by way of RNAcentral. Lineage: Eukaryota; Metazoa; Chordata; Mammalia; Artiodactyla; Bovidae.